This 207-nucleotide ribosomal RNA is filed under the name uncultured eukaryote. RNAcentral's name for it is "partial 18S ribosomal RNA". It matches the Rfam family "Eukaryotic small subunit ribosomal RNA", at positions 1299 to 1458 of the family's 1831-position model. The record is from RNAcentral.
UGGUGGAGUGAUUUGUCUGGUUAAUUCCGUUAACGAACGAGACCUCAGCCUGCUAAAUAGUUGGGAGAAUCUUCUAAAUGGGUGAAGCGUUGAUUUGGUGUGGCGGCUUGCUGUCAUUCCUAUUGGCGUGGAUCCUUGAUGUAUUCUUCAAUAUACUUCUUAGAGGGACUAUUGGUAUCUAGCCAAUGGAAGUUUGAGGCAAUAACA